This 549-nucleotide ribosomal RNA is filed under the name uncultured bacterium. RNAcentral describes it as "bacterial SSU rRNA". It matches the Rfam family "Bacterial small subunit ribosomal RNA", at positions 355 to 896 of the family's 1533-position model. The record is from RNAcentral.
UGGGGAAUAUUGGACAAUGGGCGAAAGCCUGAUCCAGCCAUGCCGCGUGUGUGAAGAAGGCCUUUUGGUUGUAAAGCACUUUAAGUGGGGAGGAAAAGCUUGUGGUUAAUACCCAUAAGCCCUGACGUUACCCACAGAAUAAGCACCGGCUAACUCUGUGCCAGCAGCCGCGGUAAUACAGAGGGUGCAAGCGUUAAUCGGAAUUACUGGGCGUAAAGCGCGCGUAGGUGGUUAUUUAAGUCAGAUGUGAAAGCCCCGGGCUUAACCUGGGAACUGCAUCUGAUACUGGAUAACUAGAGUAGGUGAGAGGGGAGUAGAAUUCCAGGUGUAGCGGUGAAAUGCGUAGAGAUCUGGAGGAAUACCGAUGGCGAAGGCAGCUCCCUGGCAUCAUACUGACACUGAGGUGCGAAAGCGUGGGUAGCAAACAGGAUUAGAUACCCUGGUAGUCCACGCCGUAAACGAUGUCUACCAGUCGUUGGGUCUUUUAAAGACUUGGUGACGCAGUUAACGCAAUAAGUAGACCGCCUGGGGAGUACGGCCGCAAGGUUA